Pelobates cultripes (western spadefoot toad) is the source of this 881-nucleotide non-coding RNA. NCBI's taxonomy places the organism in Eukaryota, Metazoa, Chordata, Amphibia, Anura, Pelobatidae. The record is from the annotation of a GenBank genome assembly.
CUACAAAAUGCCGCCCUGCUCACCUCCCUGGCUGCCACACGACUACUCUAUGGCACAUCUCACAGGCCUCUCCCCCCCUUUGGACCAGGGGGGUCAUCCCAGUCUCCACUGGAGGAUACCGUUGCGGUCCUCGACGAAACCUGCAGGGCGAACUCCAAAUGCCACAAACCUAAAAUGGCCGCUGCACCGACUAGCCGACACGCAACACCCAGAGAAACCCCUCGCUACCAAAAAGCAACACCUGUAACCAGCUACCAGAUUCUACCUACCCAUGCCUCGAGCCAGGCGCUAUGGCACCCCACAUGGUAGCGCUAAACUCUGGAGGGAGGCCCAACGGCACCUGGCAGCCACCAGCCUAAUCCCUGGCAAGGUUGGGAGCAGCAGCUCAUCUACCUAGCUGGGAACGCAUGAGACACACAUCCAGCUCCUGGUCAGCCAACCACCCACUACUCCACAUCCGAGCUCAAGACUGGGAGAGAGCAGAGAUAGCACAACAUGAUUAACAUGGGGCAUGGAAGAACAUCCCGUCGGCUGACCACCUUGUCUUCCAGAGACACUCAACUACCUACCCGAAUUGGUGUCUGCGCCCAGUGGACAUACUCACAAGCCCUCAAAUGCACACUCUGGUUGUAUUAAUUGAAUUUAGGUUCAGCUGGUUAGCCAUUCCGAUAUUUGAUUUUUCAAAGAGCAGGAGGCACAGGAGGUUCAAACCUGUUCUUUUUAAAGUUUUCUCUUGGUAUUAUCUAUACAGUGUGUGGUACCCAGUGGAAUAUUAGCCUGUAUUAGCAUGUUUACCUAAUCUGAUACUUACUCAUACCUCCAUGUCUGGCUAGUUAUGCAAGUCUGAAAACUAAAUGUAUGCAUUUUUAGUUACCUCUCUU